Molecule: long non-coding RNA, 765 nt
Organism: Phragmites australis (common reed)
Lineage: Eukaryota; Viridiplantae; Streptophyta; Magnoliopsida; Poales; Poaceae
Exons: 3
Source: RefSeq, a predicted model, not a curated record
UAGAACGGUGUAUGCUGAUAUGAUCUCUGGACUCUGGUCCAACUCUACCUGAUUUUGGAGACAGGCUAGGCUUUGUACAGGCAGAACAAGGUUGAGACUUCAUCGGCUUAGACUUGCUCAGUCAGGCCAGGAUCCCAGUAGGGGAAUUUCCUACUGCAAGGUGUUUACAUAAAUAAGUAAAGAAGAGUCAAACUGUACAAGGCCUUAGACGCUAGGCAAGAUCAGCAAGGACAGAAGGAAAGUGUAUAUACGAAGGAGCUAAUCCAUAGAGAAAGGAAGGAGUGCAGAUUGCCUUUCAUUCUGUGCAUAUAGCUCCCAGGCGGCGAUAGCAAAGACUUCUAUGAAGAAAGGGUUCUGAAAAGCUUGUGCUGCCUCUUCCAUCAUCAUGAAGAACCCUGUUAUCGGAUUCCAAGAUAUGCCGAUCGCCGACCAGCAUCUGGAGCUGAAGGCACAUUCCAAGAACAGAUGAAAAAUAGUCUUCUUUAUGUUUAGGUUAUAAAGAACACAAUUGUAGUCAUUCUGCUCAAUAUGAUAAUUUUUUUUUCUUUUGAGAAUGUUUCUCGUGUUGAGUCUGUCUUCAAAGAGAAGCGAAAUGAAGACCUUUAUCUUUUUUGAGCAUUUUGAAUUCCAAAUUCUGGUGAUGGGAAGGGGCGGUGUAAUUGAUUUGUAUGGGAGAGCAUAAAAUCUGCUAGACUGAUAACUUCCAUUGCCCUAGCAGUAUGUCUAUGUGUCCUUUUGGGAGCUCUGGUUCUGAAUUUGAGACAA